UGACCGCGUACUUUUUGUAGAACGGGCCAACGAGUUACGUUAAGUAGCAAGGUUAAGCACUUAAGGUGUGGAGCCGUAGCGAAAGCGAGUUUUAACUGAGCGUUCAGUUACUUGACGUAGACCCGAAACCGGGCGACCUACCCAUGAGCAGGAUGAAGCGAAAGUAAAAUUUCGGGGAGGUCCGAACCCACGAGCGUUGAAAAGCUCGGGGAUGACUUGUGGGUAGCGGUGAAAUUCCAAUCGAGCCCGGAGAUAGCUGGUUCUCCCCGAAAUAGCUUUAGGGCUAGCCUCAAGGUGAGAGAUACGGAGGUAGAGCACUGAAUGUCCUAGGGGGUAUUGCACCU
Molecule: ribosomal RNA, 344 nt
Filed under: Clostridioides difficile
Lineage: Bacteria; Bacillati; Bacillota; Clostridia; Peptostreptococcales; Peptostreptococcaceae
Description: bacterial LSU rRNA
Rfam family: Bacterial large subunit ribosomal RNA
Source: RNAcentral